RNAcentral lists this ribosomal RNA (734 nucleotides) under uncultured bacterium. Its description in RNAcentral is "bacterial SSU rRNA". It matches the Rfam family "Bacterial small subunit ribosomal RNA", at positions 28 to 776 of the family's 1533-position model. The record is from RNAcentral.
GACGAACGCUGGCGGCGCGCCUAACACAUGCAAGUCGAACGAGCGAGAGAGAGCUUGCUUUCUCGAGCGAGUGGCGAACGGGUGAGUAACGCGUGAGGAACCUGCCUCAAAGAGGGGGACAACAGUUGGAAACGACUGCUAAUACCGCAUAAGCCCACAGGUCGGCAUCGACCAGAGGGAAAAGGAACAAUCCGCUUUGAGAUGGCCUCGCGUCCGAUUAGCUGGUUGGUGAGGUAACGGCCCACCAAGGCGACGAUCGGUAGCCGGACUGAGAGGUUGAACGGCCACAUUGGACUGAGACACGGCCCAGACUCCUACGGGAGGCAGCAGUGGGGAAUAUUGCACAAUGGGGGAAACCCUGAUGCAGCGACGCCGCGUGGAGGAAGAAGGUCUUCGGAUUGUAAACUCCUGUUGUUGAGGAAGAUAAUGACGGUACUCAACAAGGAAGUGACGGCUAACUACGUGCCAGCAGCCGCGGUAAAACGUAGGUCACAAGCGUUGUCCGGAAUUACUGGGUGUAAAGGGAGCGCAGGCGGGAAGACAAGUUGGAAGUGAAAUCUAUGGGCUCAACCCAUAAACUGCUUUCAAAACUGUUUUUCUUGAGUAGUGCAGAGGUAGGCGGAAUUCCCGGUGUAGCGGUGGAAUGCGUAGAUAUCGGGAGGAACACCAGUGGCGAAGGCGGCCUACUGGGCACCAACUGACGCUGAGGCUCGAAAGUGUGGGUAGCAAACAGG